RNAcentral lists this unclassified non-coding RNA (374 nucleotides) under uncultured fungus. RNAcentral's name for it is "partial contains 5.8S ribosomal RNA and internal transcribed spacer 2". The stretch from base 1 to 133 matches the Rfam family "5.8S ribosomal RNA", at positions 22 to 154 of the family's 154-position model. Lineage: Eukaryota; Fungi. The record is from RNAcentral.
UGGCUCUCGCAUCGAUGAAGAACGCAGCGAAAUGCGAUAAGUAAUGUGAAUUGCAGAAUUCAGUGAAUCAUCGAAUCUUUGAACGCACCUUGCGCUCCUUGGUAUUCCGAGGAGCAUGCCUGUUUGAGUGUCUUGAAGUCAUCAACCGCCCCCGUUUGAAAAACCGGGUGGUGGGUUGGAUCUGGGGGUUUGCCGCUGCAAAGCGGCUCCCUUCAAAUGCAUCGGUUGGACCUGCGGGUCGUACUCGACUGGGCGUUGUAACAUCCUCGCUCUACCGAGAAGUUCCCCUCUGGCGUCCUCCCACGACUCGCCUCUGGAGUGGCGGUCAACUUGCUUUGAAAUCUGACCUCAAAUCAGGUAGGACUACCCGCUGA